This 72-nucleotide transfer RNA is filed under the name Malakichthys wakiyae (silverbelly seaperch). Its description in RNAcentral is "tRNA-Met". It matches the Rfam family "tRNA". Rfam says of the family: Transfer RNA (tRNA) molecules are approximately 80 nucleotides in length. Their secondary structure includes four short double-helical elements and three loops (D, anti-codon, and T loops). RNAcentral also lists the same sequence under 1 other name. The record is from RNAcentral. Lineage: Eukaryota; Metazoa; Chordata; Actinopteri; Acropomatiformes; Malakichthyidae.
AGUAUAGUAAGCUAACUAAAAAGCUUCUGGGCCCAUACCCCAGACAUGUAGGUUAAAGUCCUGCCUAUGCUA